UACGUAGGGGGCAAGCGUUGUCCGGAUUUAUUGGGCGUAAAGAGCGUGUAGGCGGCCAGGUAGGUCUGCUGUGAAAACUCGAGGCUUAACCUCGAGCUGUCGGCGGAAACCAUCUGGCUAGAGUCCGGAAGAGGAGAAUGGAAUUCCCGGUGUAGCGGUGAAAUGCGUAGAGAUGUGGAGGAACACCGAUGGCGAAGGCAGCCCCCUGGGUCAAGAUUGACGCUCAUGCACGAAAGCGUGGGGAGCAGACAGG
RNAcentral lists this ribosomal RNA (253 nucleotides) under uncultured bacterium. RNAcentral describes it as "partial 16S ribosomal RNA". It matches the Rfam family "Bacterial small subunit ribosomal RNA", at positions 524 to 776 of the family's 1533-position model. The record is from RNAcentral.